RNAcentral lists this ribosomal RNA (496 nucleotides) under uncultured bacterium. RNAcentral describes it as "partial 16S ribosomal RNA". It matches the Rfam family "Bacterial small subunit ribosomal RNA", at positions 28 to 507 of the family's 1533-position model. The record is from RNAcentral.
GAUGAACGCUGGCGGCGUGCCUAAUACAUGCAAGUCGAGCGAACGGACGAGAAGCUUGCUUCUCUGAUGUUAGCGGCGGACGGGUGAGUAACACGUGGAUAACCUACCUAUAAGACUGGGAUAACUUCGGGAAACCGGAGCUAAUACCGGAUAAUAUUUUGAACCGCAUGGUUCAAAAGUGAAAGACGGUCUUGCUGUCACUUAUAGAUGGAUCCGCGCUGCAUUAGCUAGUUGGUAAGGUAACGGCUUACCAAGGCAACGAUGCAUAGCCGACCUGAGAGGGUGAUCGGCCACACUGGAACUGAGACACGGUCCAGACUCCUACGGGAGGCAGCAGUAGGGAAUCUUCCGCAAUGGGCGAAAGCCUGACGGAGCAACGCCGCGUGAGUGAUGAAGGUCUUCGGAUCGUAAAACUCUGUUAUUAGGGAAGAACAUAUGUUAAGUAACUGUGCACAUCUUGACGGUACCUAAUCAGAAAGCCACGGCUAACUACGUG